ACUCCUACGGGUGGCAGCAGUGGGGAAUAUUGGACAAUGGGCGAAAGCCUGAUCCAGCCAUGCCGCGUGUGUGAAGAAGGUCUUCGGAUUGUAAAGCACUUUAAGUUGGGAGGAAGGGCAGUUACCUAAUACGUGAUUGUUUUGACGUUACCGACAGAAUAAGCACCGGCUAACUCUGUGCCAGCAGCCGCGGUAAUACAGAGGGUGCAAGCGUUAAUCGGAAUUACUGGGCGUAAAGCGCGCGUAGGUGGUUAGUUAAGUUGGAUGUGAAAUCCCCGGGGCUCAACCUGGGGAACUGCAUUCAAAACUGACUGACUAGAGUAUGGUAGAGGGUGGUGGAAUUUCCUGUGUAGCGGUGAAAUGCGUAGAUAUAGGAAGGAACACCAGUGGCGAAGGCGACCACCUGGACUGAUACUGACACUGAGGUGCGAAAGCGUGGGGAGCAAACAGGAUUAGAUA
RNAcentral lists this ribosomal RNA (459 nucleotides) under uncultured bacterium. RNAcentral's name for it is "bacterial SSU rRNA". It matches the Rfam family "Bacterial small subunit ribosomal RNA", at positions 335 to 784 of the family's 1533-position model. The record is from RNAcentral.